RNAcentral lists this ribosomal RNA (254 nucleotides) under uncultured bacterium. RNAcentral describes it as "partial 16S ribosomal RNA". It matches the Rfam family "Bacterial small subunit ribosomal RNA", at positions 524 to 776 of the family's 1533-position model. The record is from RNAcentral.
UACGUAGGGCGCGAGCGUUGUCCGGAUUUAUUGGGCGUAAAGAGCUCGUAGGCGGCUUGUCGCGUCGUCCGUGAAAACCUGCAGCUCAACUGCAGGCUUGCGGUCGAUACGGGCAGGCUAGAGUUCGGUAGGGGGAGACUGGAAUUCCUGGUGUAGCGGUGAAAUGCGCAGAUAUCAGGAGGAACACCGGUGGCGAAGGCGGGUCUCUGGGCCGAUACUGACGCUGAGGAGCGAAAGCGUGGGGAGCGAACAGG